This 253-nucleotide ribosomal RNA is filed under the name uncultured bacterium. RNAcentral describes it as "partial 16S ribosomal RNA". It matches the Rfam family "Bacterial small subunit ribosomal RNA", at positions 524 to 776 of the family's 1533-position model. The record is from RNAcentral.
UACGAAGGGGGCUAGCGUUGUUCGGAAUCACUGGGCGUAAAGCGCACGUAGGCGGAUUUGUUAGUCAGGGGUGAAAUCCCGGGGCUCAACCUCGGAACUGCCUUUGAUACUGCAAGUCUCGAGUCCGAGAGAGGUGAGUGGAAUUCCUAGUGUAGAGGUGAAAUUCGUAGAUAUUAGGAAGAACACCAGUGGCGAAGGCGGCUCACUGGCUCGGUACUGACGCUGAGGUGCGAAAGCGUGGGGAGCAAACAGG